RNAcentral lists this ribosomal RNA (253 nucleotides) under uncultured bacterium. Its description in RNAcentral is "partial 16S ribosomal RNA". It matches the Rfam family "Bacterial small subunit ribosomal RNA", at positions 524 to 776 of the family's 1533-position model. The record is from RNAcentral.
GACGAAGGGGGCAAGCGUUGUUCGGAAUUACUGGGCGUAAAGGGCGCGUAGGCGGCUCUUUUAGUCAGGCGUGAAAGCCCUGGGCUCAACCUGGGAGUGGCGCUUGAUACUGGAGGGCUAGAGAGUGGGAGAGGUUGGUGGAAUUCCCAGUGUAGAGGUGAAAUUCGUAGAUAUUGGGAAGAACACCGGUGGCGAAGGCGGCCAACUGGACCAUUUCUGACGCUGAGGCGCGAAAGCGUGGGGAGCAAACAGG